GCGGGGCUUCAGGAAGCCUGGAGGGAUCCCAGCUCCCUCAGCAAUAGCUCUGUGAUUUCCGCAAUUCAGACAAUCUCCGUAGAUGAGGUUUGUUAUUGUUUUUACAAAAUUGAAAAAUCCCUUUGUAUUAUAAAAUUUUCACUGUAGGAGUGUGAAAUGAAGAGGUCCUGCACUCAGAAAGCCACUCCCAGAACACAGUUCAUACCGAUUUAUACCAGGGUAGGUUUGUUACUUGGGGCGGGAGGGGAGGGCAGCAUGACUGCCCAUGUCUGAUGCCUGUGGUAUUUGAUAAAUGUUCGUUGACCACGUGAAUGUUUAAUCACUAUGUAAGGGACUGGAAGAAGACAGGGUUUUGCAAUAUGAUAGAGGGAAGUAUUUUAGGAAGUAGUGCUCUACUGACAAAUAAUGGACUUACGUUCAGAUUAUGUUAAGUAAUUCUGGAGGCAAGGAAAAUAUCGAGUUGGAUAUUCUGCCUUCAGAACUAAAAAUCAACUUUCACUUCAUCAAGUUUUUACCUUAAGGGUGCUACUGUCUUUUCUUUAACUGAGUACAUUCCCAGAAGGAAACCAAAAACCUAAAGGUAAUUACCUAGUAAGACUCUAAGGAGACUAGAUACUGUUGGCUUUAUUUAGUUUACAAAAUUUCUUAUCAAAUAUAAUGCCAUUUGAUUAUAUAGGGGCCUGUAAUGUUAAAACAUAGUUUUGCGCUUUCAACUUUUAGUUAAUUUGCCUAAUUAAAUUAUCUUAAACACAAUUUAUGUCUUCUCAGGCAAGAAAACUCGCUGCAAAUAUGUUGUACAUUAGCAAAUCUCAGUAUGCCCUACAGAUGAAUAAAUGAGUCCUUACUAUUAAAGCAAUAAGCUGGGAUAAUUUUAGCUGUCACUCAUUCAGUCAUUCAUUCAUUCACGGUUUACUGCCUAUCUACAUGUCCAGCACUGUGCCGGCAAAUAGAUACAAAGAAGAGAGUGAGGCAGCCCCUCCUAGAACGGACAGUCCACUGGGUGAAGAGUGAUAAUACAGUCACGUCCAACAAGUCAAUCAGUGGCCGCUCUCAAGGAGAGAGCCGGUGGAGAAGAUGUGAGGGAGGAGGCUGUGGGCCUAGAGCAUUGGUGGUAGGACCGUGGUAGGGUUAUCUGGGUGUCGGGAGAAGCCUCGCUGUGCUCAGGGCUCAAGUAUGAAAACCCGCAGCUCAGGGAUCAGUCAUGGUGCAGGAGUGAGGUGAGUUUUCCCUCCUAUUAUUUAGCCCAAAGAGGGAAGAGGUUCGUUCAGUGUGAUCUAGUUUCGGACCGUGUCCCUAUCCUGGCACACACCGGGAGCGCCCAGGGCCUGACUCAGCUGCUGACGUCAGUACCAUAAGCCAUUGGCGCAGCUCCAGAAUUUCCAGGCCUUCCCUGACUGCUGGGGGUUAUUAGUCGGACCGACUUGAGCUUCUAGGGUGACCCAUUAGAACAGACCUAAACUACAUCCUUUCCUUACAUCCCCCCCUCUUUUUUUUUUUCUCUCUAAACAACGCUUACUUACUCAUGACUUUUGGUCCUGCCUGAGUGCUGUGUUCUGGGGAAAGAGAAGGAUCAGACUGUAUUACAGCUACUUCAUACACAACCUGCAACCGAGGUAGAGCCUGAUUCUCUAAUCCAUGAACACCAUGGACACCUGAACACCAUGGAAAGGGAAGUAGGGUCUUCUAGGAGAAACCAGAGACGUGUGGGGCCUACUCUUGAAGAGACUACAAUACUGUACAUUCCUGUAGACCCAAGACCAACUCUACACAACAUUCAAGGGCAGGUUCGUCGUCGGUGUUUUAACUUAUCCCUUUGUUUGCCAUCCUGGAACCUGCUCCCAGCCCUCCCUGGUGACUUGCACGGUAAGACUUGGGAUGGGUAAGGAGUGUAUCUUUCUGUGGGCAGUAAGGGACAGUGAUGGAGAAAGGAAAGGUUUGCAUCACAGGGAGCUGGUUUCUGGGAGAGAAUACAAGCUGAGAAUUUAGAAGUUGAUUCUCCUAAAACUGUCCUCACAUAACCAUCAGGAAGAACUGUAUCUCAAGCAGUAUGCGUACACCCAUUUGAAGACAGAAGUCUAUGAAAACUAAUCUUGGGUGCGCCUGGGUGGCUCAGUGAGUUAAAGCCUCUGCCUU
Neogale vison (American mink) is the source of this 2133-nucleotide long non-coding RNA. RefSeq lists it as uncharacterized. Lineage: Eukaryota; Metazoa; Chordata; Mammalia; Carnivora; Mustelidae. The transcript has 3 exons. The record is from RefSeq and is a predicted model, not a curated record.